GAUGAACGCUGGCGGCGUGCCUAACACAUGCAAGUCGUACGAGCUCGAUCUUCGGAACGGGUUAGUGGCGCACGGUGAGUAACACGUAGGUGACCUACCCCAGAGUGGGGAUAACUUCUCGAAAGAGAGGCUAAUACCGCAUACACUCGGUCAUUCAUUUGGCCGAGCAAAGCUCCGGCGCUUUGGGACGGGCCUGCGUCCGAUUAGCUAGUUGGUAGGGUAAUGGCUUACCAAGGCUUUGAUCGGUAGCUGGUCUGAGAGGACGAUCAGCCACACUGGGACUGACACACGGGCCAGACUCCUACGGGAGGCAGCAGUGAGGAAUAUUGGGCAAUGGGCGAAAGCCUGACCCAGCAACGCCGCGUGAGGGAUGAAGGCCUUCGGGUUGUAAACCUCUUUUCUGGGAGAAGAGACAAGGACGGUAUCCCAGGAAUAAGUCUCGGCUAACUACGUGCCAGCAGCCGCGGUAAU
RNAcentral lists this ribosomal RNA (471 nucleotides) under uncultured bacterium. RNAcentral describes it as "bacterial SSU rRNA". It matches the Rfam family "Bacterial small subunit ribosomal RNA", at positions 28 to 524 of the family's 1533-position model. The record is from RNAcentral.